Molecule: transfer RNA, 73 nt
Filed under: Camelus bactrianus (Bactrian camel)
Lineage: Eukaryota; Metazoa; Chordata; Mammalia; Artiodactyla; Camelidae
Also listed under: 2 other names
Rfam family: tRNA
About the family: Transfer RNA (tRNA) molecules are approximately 80 nucleotides in length.
Source: Rfam by way of RNAcentral
GAGGGUACAGCUCAAGUGGUAGAGUGUGUGGUUAGCAUGCAUGCAGUCCUGGGUUCAAUCCCCAGUACUUCCA